Molecule: non-coding RNA, 9791 nt
Organism: Sus scrofa (pig)
Lineage: Eukaryota; Metazoa; Chordata; Mammalia; Artiodactyla; Suidae
Source: RefSeq, a predicted model, not a curated record
AGUCAGGCCGAUCCGCUCCGCUCACGGUUUAAGAUUAUCUGACUUUCAGCUAAAAAGGAUUGCUGACUGCUAGUAGAAAGGUCUUCAUGGAACAGAAUGCAACAUGGAAUUGGCUUUGUUAAGUUCCAUGAGGAAAAAUAAGCAAUAGAUCUCCCAACUUUAUUGAAUAGAAAAAAGAUAAUUAAAAAAUGGCAGAGCUCUUUAUGGAAUGUGAAGAAGAAGAAUUGGAACCAUGGCAGAAGAAAGUAAAAGAGGUUGAUGAUGAUGAUGAUGAUGAGCCCAUCUUUGUUGGAGAGAUAUCAGGUUCAAAACCAGCAAUUUCAAACAUUUUGAAUAGAGUAAACCCCAGCUCAUAUUCAAGGGGAAUAAAGAAUGGCGCACUCAGCCGAGGUAUUACUGCUGCAUUCAAGUCUACAAGUCAACACUACACGAACCCAACAUCAAAUCCGGUGGCUGCCUCACCAGUAAAUUUUCAUCCUGAAUCUAGAUCUUCAGAUAGUUCUGUUAUUGUUCAGCCUUUGUCUAAACCUGGUUAUAUAACCAACUCAUCACGAGUUGUAACUAAUAAUUCUUCAGAAUUACUGUUUGACUUGACCCAGGAUACAGGCUUACCACAUUACCAAGGAGGAACAACACUUUCUAUAGCAGGUAUAAAUGAAAGUUCAUUUUUAUCGAAACGUCCUUCUACUUCUGAAGUAAACAGUGUUAAUCCAAAAAAGUCUAAGCCUAGUGAAGGUGUUUCUGGAACAAAUUCCUCAGCUGUACUUUCUUCAGUUAAAUCUCUUUCAGUGACAUCUUCCCAGGCUAUGCCAUCAAAAGGUACCAAUACCUCAUCAAAUCAAUCUAAAAAUGGGACACCUUUUCCAAGAGCAUGUCCAAAGUGCAACAUUCAUUUCAAUCUUUUGGAUCCUCUCAAAAAUCACAUGAAGUACUGUUGUCCAGAUAUGAUAAAUAACUUUUUGGGACUGGCUAAAACAGAAUUUUCAAGUACAGCAAAUAAAAAUAAGACUAUUGAUUCAGAAAAAGGAAAAUUGAUCAUGUUAGUUAAUGACUUUUACUAUGGAAAACAUGAAGGAGAUGUCCAGGAAGAACAGAAGACUUACACAACCUUUAAAUGCUUCAGUUGCUUGAAAAUACUUAAAAAUAAUAUUAGGUUUAUGAACCACAUGAAACAUCAUUUGGAACUUGAGAAGCAGAGCAGUGAAAGCUGGGAAAACCACACCACCUGCCAGCACUGUUAUCGUCAGUUUCCCACACCAUUUCAACUGCAGUGUCACAUUGAAAGUACACACACACCCCAUGAAUUUUCUACCAUUUGCAAAAUAUGUGAAUUAUCAUUUGAAACAGAGCAUAUUCUUUUACAACAUAUGAAGGACAAUCAUAAACCUGGUGAAAUGCCAUAUAUUUGCCAGGUUUGCAAUUAUAGAUCAUCAUCAUUUUCUGAUGUAGAAACUCAUUUUAGGACAUCCCAUGAAAACACUAAGAACUUGCUGUGUCCAUUUUGCCUCAAAGUUAUUAAAAUUGCAACACCCUAUAUGCAUCAUUAUAUGAAGCAUCAGAAAAAAGGAAUACAUCGUUGUACAAAAUGCAGACUUCAGUUUUUAACAUGCAAAGAGAAAAUGGACCACAAGACUCAGCAUCAUAGGACAUUUAUAAAACCUAAACAAUUAGAAGGAUUGCCUCCUGGAACAAAAGUUACUAUACGAGCUUCAGUUGGACCUCUUCAAUCAGGAUCUUCAACUACACCUUCCAUUAGUGCAAGCACUUCUACACUUCAGCUCUCACCUCCAAGGACUAAAAAUAUAACUGCUAAAAAUCCCGCAAAAUCUAACACAAGUAAACCUAAUAUAACUAAAUCCAUUGCAAGUAAACCUAAUACAAGUAAGCCUAAUGGAAGUAAACCUAAAUACAAAUCAAAAAUCUCUAAUAUGCAAAAGAAACAAAGCACAUUGGCUAGUAGCAAUAAAAAAAGUAAAGUCAAUACAGCAUUGAGAAACUUAAGGUAUCGUCGGGGAGUUCACAAGUGCAUUGAGUGUUGUUCUGAAAUAAAAGAUUUUGCAAACCACUUUCCUACAUAUGUCCACUGUAGUUUUUGCAGAUACAACACUAGCUGUAGCAAAGCCUAUGUGAAUCAUAUGAUGAGCUUUCAUAGUAAUCGUCCAAGUAAAAGGUUUUGUAUCUUUAAGAAGUAUUCAGAAGAUCUCAGGGGCAUUACUCUAGUGUGCCUUAAUUGUGAUUUCCUAGCUGAUGUUUCUGGCUUAGAUAAUAUGGCUACACACUUAAGUCUACAUGAAACUCAUACUUGUCAAGUUGUAAUAGAGAAAGUUUCUGUUUGUAUUCCAACUUCUGAACAUCUUUCUGAAUUAAAAAAUCAAGCUCCCACUAAGGAACAAGUACCUGUGUCUGAGGUAAAUUAUGUUAUAUUUUGUACUGCUUAAAGGUUUAUAUAUUUUAAUUUAUUGUUGGUGUGAUAUUUAAAAUACUUCAAUGUGCGUGGAUCACUAACAAUUACUGGCAUGCUAUCAGAAAGAAAAAAAAAGGAGGCUUUUGUUUUCAUUAUAUAUAAAAAUACCUAACCCUAAAUAAAAUUGUGAAUUGUUUUAUUUUGACAGAGACAUCACAUAUUUCCCUUGCCUGUUAUUUAGUUCAACUAGUAAGUAAUGGAUAUAAAUUUAUGACUUAAAAAUCCUGAAAUCAUUAAAACAUCAAACUUUGACACAUUUGAAUUUAAUCUUUCUAGAAGAUUUUAUUUUCUAAAACUUUGAAAAAGAUUUUAAUAGUUUUUAAAAUGGAAAUAUUUUGGAUAUUUUAAAAAUGUGUUUUAGCUGUCUUAAACACACACUCUGAAUAUAGCACUCAGGGCUAUCAUAUAAAUGUAAUUUACUGGACAGUCUAAUGAAUGAAUGUAAAAGUAAUUUUGCUUAUGUAUUUGCUUUCUUGGUGUCAGUUUUAAAAAUAUCACUCAAUUAAAAUUACUUGUCUCUUUCUGAGUAUUAUGAAGUCAGGCCAGUUCAGCAUUUAUAUUUCAAGUAGCACGUCUAUCUUGUAGAGUAAGUGAAACCUAGACAAUAUGAGCCUUCUCCCAAGUGACUUUCCUUUAUCCCGAAGAAAGUUAUCUUUUGUUUGAAAGGUUUUUAACUGCAAAUAAAUGUCUUUAAUAGAUACAGGAUUUUUUGGUUACCUCUUUAUUCUUGAGUCAGUUUUGGUGUUUGGUUUUUGAGAAGUUGGUGUGUAUUAUUUAAGAUGUUGAGUUUAUAUGUAUAGAGUUGUUUGUAGUAUUCCUUUAUUUAUUUAUUUAUUUAUUUUGACCGCGCCUACAGAAUGUGAAAGUUUCCAGGCCAGGGAUUGAACCUGUGCCACAGCAGCAACCCAAACUGUUCCAGUGACAGUGCUGGAUCCUUAACCUGCUAUGCCACAAGAGACUCCUCCCUUAUUCUUUUAAUGCCUGUGCAGCCUGCAGUGAUAAUCUUGUCUUUCAUUUCUGAUAUUGAUAGUUUGUAUGUUCUUUUUGUUUCUAAUAUUGUCAUGUAUUUUACUUUUACCUAGAUAUAAGGACAGAGUACAGUGUUACCAUUUUUGUUUUAAAUAGUCAUUUUUGGGAGCAGUUACUAAAUACUAAAAUAUUUUUAUAUUCACCUUCAUUUUUACCAUUUCAAGUGCUCUUCAUUUCUUUAUGUAGCUCUUAAUUUCUGUCUAGUAUCAUAUUUCUUUUUGCCUAAAAAACUUCCUUUCAAAUAUCAUGUUGCAGAACUACCGGUAAUUACUUCUUCCAUGCUUUUUUCCUUCAAAAAAAUCUUUAUUUUUCAUUUUUGAAAGUAAUUUUUUGGUGAGUAAAGAAAUCUGGAAGAAUUUCUUUCAGAAUUUUAAAGAAGUAAUUUUAUUGUCUCUUGGCUUGCAUAUUUCCAGAUAAGAUGUCUUACUGUAAUUUUUAUCUUUGUUUCUUCAUAUAUAUAUAUGUGUGUGUGUGUGUAUAAUAUGUCAGUUUUCUUUGCCCUCAAGAUUUUGUUUUUAUCUUUAGUUAUUAUCAGUUUGAACAUCAUUUGUCUAUUUCUGGUUUGUUCAUUUGUCUAUAUGUUUAUCUGUUUAUGUAUUUAUUUUUGGCAUUCAUCCUGAGGUAUUCUCUGAUUUGUCCUGUUAUCUUCUACUUCAAGGGUUUUGAUUUCACAUAUGUUGUAUCAUUUUUUUUAAGCCACACCCACAGCAUCUGUAAGUUCCUGAGCCAGGGAUUGACUCCGAGCCACAGCUAUGACCUAAGCCACAGCUCUGGCAACACUGAGUCCUUUAAUCCACUGUGCUGGGCCAAGGAUCGAACCCACACCUCUGUAGCUACCCAAGCUGCUGCAGUUGGAUUCUUAACCCACUGUGCCUCAGCAGGAACUCCACAUAUGUUAUACUAUUUGAUGUUAAUCCCUUUUCUUAGAUAUCCUGUUCUAGUCUCCACCUUCCACUCUUUUUUUUUCCCCCUUAUUGUUUCAUUUGGGGUAAUUUCUAACUAUUAACCAACCUGUUUACUGAUUAAUUUUUCAGUUGUAUCAAGUCUACCGAUAAACCUAUCAAAAAUAUUUUCCAUCUCUGUCAUUGUGUUUUGUUUGGGGUUUUUCCCCUAGCAUUUGCAUCGAUUCUUACAGUUCCUGGUGUUCUGAUAAAAUUUCAUCUGGUCAUGCAUGUUUUCCUCCUUUUUCUUCCUAAGAAUUUAGCAUAUUAAUUAUAGUAAUUUGAAAUGUUCUGUCUGAUAGUUCCAACAGGUGGGUUACAUCUAAGUCUGGUUCUGCUGAUUGUUUUAUCUCCUGACAGCAUAUUUUUCCCCUUUGAUUUUUCUGUACAUAUUUGGUUGAAAGCAAGACAAUAUGUGUGAGACUGACAUAAAUAGUAUUUAUAUCUGAAUAUAGACAUGCAUUUUCUUUAUUAGGCCAUUAGAAUGGGAUUUGUGUCCACCUAAUAGUAAGUUGAUUUGAGUUUUGCUUUUUUUUUUUUUAAUCACCAUGGUUACCCUCACACUGCCAAGUUCAGUUCCUCUAGUAUUUCCUUGUGCUUAGAGUGGAAAUUAUAUUGCUGAAGGUUUUUUGAUUUUUUUUUAAUUGUCCUUCUUCCAUACUCAGUUUUAGUCUUUCCAUGUGUGAUUGAGCCACAGAGUUUGUCUCUCUCUCUCCACUCUUGCAUUUUUUCCAGCAGCACUAUUUUUGCUUGUUAUUUGAUGUUUGCUAAUCUGGUGGCAGGUAGUAGAGAUUGGAGUGAUGUUCUGUGUUCUUCUGAACACAGGCUCUCAAGCUGCCUCUCUGUCUCUAGAUCUUGAGAAUAGAAAUGCUUUCUUCUAUCACCAAGUCACAGUUGGUACUUGUGCCCUGUGGACAGCAGGGUUUGCCUCUUUUCUUUUCAACUACAUAAAGGUAUGAACAUGAAGAAAUUUUAUUAAUUCAUUAUUUCAUAGCAUCAUCCAUGGAUUCUUUCCUGAUGCAUUCAUAAUUGAAUAAAUCAUCAAAUUCUUACUUUCCUUUGAUUGCCCUGUUUCAUCUGUGUCAAGUAAACCAAUCUUUUCAUAUAUAAACCAGCUUUCUUAAGUUUGUUUUUUGUUAAAAGAAAUAAAGCUUAUACUAAAAAUUUAGCAAGCCAUAAGCAAAGUUAAAGGAAGUCAUAUUGAAUGGAAGCCCACAUAGAACAAUCUUGGUCUGGGUACUUCUUCCAAGUGUAUAUAUGGAUAGUUCCUUGAAUUGGUCAAGGUAUUUAUUUUAAGAUAUGUGAUAUGGUCAAUAGCAUGAAUUAAUCUUCAAGAUUUUGAUCAGAUGUAUUGUAGUGGAAUCAAUGUUAUAUACCCCAGUAAUAUUUUCCUGUUAUCAGUUUCAUUUGUAUAGUUUUACAUUUCCUCUUUCAAAAUUAAUUGCUCUCAUUUACUAGAUUGUAUUUGGAAUUUAUAUUACAGAGUAGGUUUCUAAAAUAACCUCUUUUCUGUAUAUAUUCUAUACACUGUGUAUAUUCUAUACACUGCAGCAUUUUACUGCUCUUCUUUCCUCACUAAUAUAUACAUACCAUAAUUCUUCCCCUCCAGUCUGAUAUUAACGUAGUUUCUUCAUAACGAAGUAGUGGGUUAAGAGACUUUGAAGGUAGGGAUAGAUGCCUUUCUCUUUCCUUGCUUCCUUCCUUGGCUAUUAGGAAACACUUGAUAGCAUGUUCCAGGAAUCUUUCUAGUGGGAACAAAGAUUAAUAAAGUUAAUAAAAAUUAAUAAAAUUAUUUCCCUAUCCCUAAGGUGAUCAAAAUCUAGGACAAUUAGGCAUGAAAGAAUUGUAAUCCAAUAAGAUAACUACCAUAUUUUAAGUAUAUUAGUUAUGUAGGUACACAUGAAAGUCUCCUCAGGAUGACUGUGGUGUUUUUUUUUCUCUCUUUUCUAAAUAUUCUUUUGUCAGUUCAAACAUACACAUAAUAUGCAAAGUAGAGGUUCUCUGUUAUUUCAUCAAUGAAAUGGCAAAUUAACUCUGUCUUUAUUCCUGUAAGGCUAGUUGGGGCCAUCCAUAAAGAAUUUUCAAGGAAAUUGCAAGACCUAACAUGGCUGAAGGAGAAACAGAAACAUCAAGUUCUGAAAGUAAACAAGAUGAAGCUUCUUCAGAGGAAAUAAAAAAUGGAUGUAAUGCACAUUUAUUUGAAGGCCCAUCAACAACAAAAAGUGAAGAAGGCAUGUCAGUUUCAGAUAAGGAAAAUGAUACCUGUCUUGAAGACCAGGAAACUGGCUCAAAGCAUGUCUUCAGUUAUGAUUCAGUUACUGAUGCAGAUAAAGUGGAAAAAGAAAAGCAAAUAGAGCAUAUUUGUCAGGAAACAAAGUUGAAGAUGUGCCGCAGUUCAGAAAACAUCAUUGCAUGUGAUCAGAUUGAAGAAUGUAAUGCCAGUGAAGCUAGAUUAUCUUUGAAGAAUAUUAAGGAUUUGCGGUUAACAUCUGGUGAUGUUAGCAUUGAUCAGUUUUUGAGGAAAAGAGAUGAACCUGGAUCUGUUAGUUCUGAUGUUAGUGAGCAAGGCAGUGUUCAUUUGGAACCUUUGACUCCAUCAGAGGUACUUGAGUAUGAAGCCACAGAGAUUCUUCACAAAGGUAGUGGUGAUCCGUCAGCCAAGACUGAUGAAGUAGUGUCUGAUCAUACAGAUGUUCCUGGAGAAAAUAGCCUUAGCACAACAGAGACAUCAGGAGACCUGGCAGAUGAAAAAGAAAGAAGAAGUUGAAAUUAAUUAGUCAUUCUAAGUUUUAGUGUACCAACGGUAAGAGCAUUUGGAACAGUGCUAUCAGGUGAGCUCAGUGGUACUGUUGCAGAGUUCAGAGAUAGAAAAAUGUGAGGGAGGUCAUUAUACACUUUACCUGGAUGUUCAACCUAAGUUAUUGAGUCAGUUCUCCAUUAAUAGCAUGAUUAGUAUGAAUUUCCAAGCAGUUUUUAAAACAUGAAUAAGAUUUUAAUGAAAGUUAAGUUUGCAAUGAAAAAGUCUCAGCAGUUUUCAAGGAUAUAGAACUUGGUGGUCCUUAUGAAUUGAUUAUUAGAACAUUAGUUAUGUUAAUAAAGCCUUCGAAAUUUCCAUCUAUCCUAAGCUAAAAGUCCUUAAUACCUGUACAUCCUUUUCAAUUAACUUAAAGGAAGAGAUUUGGAAACUCUAUACCUUCUGGGAAUAGUUGACUUAAAAUAAUAGCUGAUUGGCAUUGUUAAUGAAGGCUUCAUAUGUUGCUGGUAAAUGGGGCAUGCUUAGAGUGCUAAAUUAGUUGAUCUAAGAAUUUGGAUGAACGUGGACUUAAUUUUGGAUUUAAUAUAACAUUCCAGACUGCCAGAAGCAUGUAAAAAGAAUAUUUGAAUCUGUGUACCUCCAUAUAAGUGUUAGCCUGCCAGGCUGUAAGCUUACCUUAAACUUUCAGUGAAAGUGAAAUUAUUAAAAUAAAAAUUUAUAUUUGUGCUUUUUGUCAGUAUGUAAGUUGUGCAGAAAUCCCUUAAUGUUCUAGUUGUAUAAAGUAGAAACCUAUUGUUGAAACUCCUAUAGCUGUUACGCUUUUAAUAUUGUUUUAAUGAUCUUCUUUAGAAAUAGACCCAUAAAAAUGGUCUGGAAACCAAACCAAAGUAUGGUAUAACGUAGAUAUUGUAAAGCAGUAAACUGAAAACAUGUCCUGGCAUGAAUUCAGCCAUGUUAAAGUGACUUUUUCUGUAACUGUAAAAUAGAAACUUCACAUGGGACCUAAAGCAGGAUGUAAACAUUUGGUUUGGGGUAUUUAGCCUAAUUUAUCCAUAAGAUGGCUGCUAAAUUGAUUUUUCAGUUUUUUUUAAUCAUAUAGAAAAUAAUAGAUGUAGAAAUGAAUAAUAUGAGUAACAGUAGUUUGCUUUGAAGUACUAAUAAACUUUUAUUUAAAUGCUACAUUUUUACUUCUUAAAAUGUGCUUUGAAUUCUUAAAUUUUGUUUCACUGAAUGUUAAAUAUUUUAAACAGCUAUUAAAGUUCUGCUGUACAUAGUAGUUUUUGAGUAAAUAUUUGCAAUAAAAAUCUGUCCCUGAAUAAUUUUAUUUUUCAGAAAGCUGCUUGAGUCGAAUUACCUUUGGCGCCUUUCAAAAUUGUGUAUUGUUCAAGGAAAUUUCAUGUUAAAGUUAGUGGUAGAAUUUCAUUCUGUAUUCUUUAAUUGAUGCAUGAUUUAUUUUAAAUUAAGAUUUAAAGUACAGGGGAAAAAACUGCUGAUAUUUACAGAGGAUAGAUUUGCUUUACAAAUUCUUCCACUAAAGAGAAUUAUAAUUUAAUAUUAUAGUUUUCUAACUGCUCAGUAAGUUAAAGAGGCUAAAUAGGCAAAAUAUAUAAUUGACUUAUUUUAUUGAAUAUUUUGUGGGUGGGGGCAAAUAUUUUUAUCUUUUUUUCUCCCAAGAAAAGAUGGGGAGAAAGAGACGUAUUAGCUGUCAUCCUUUGUCUUGUUGAAACAUAAAUCUGUAGCAAAGAAGACUUUUGUAGUAUUUUAAAUGUUAAAAGAACAGGGAUAAAAGAAAGUCUAUGUAAAGACCACUUUCUGAAUCUCAUUCAAUUAGUUGCCAAGUGUAUCAACUAAUGCCAUAAAAUCCUAGAGCACCAUGCCAAAAAAAAAAAAUCUCUAAGUGACACUGUAAUUCCUUUUGAACUUUCAUUAGUUCCUUCUCCUGCCCCUAUAUACUUAUGGUAGUGGUAUUCAAAGUUCUUGAUCAAUGAACUGUUUAUACCUGUCCACUAUGAGAAAAGGAACCUGUACCAGAGUGUAAAGUCUUCAGUGAGAAAGUCUAGCAAUGAGGCCAAAAAGUAGAUGAAAUAAACAUUGUACUUUGGAAGCAUAAUUGGUUUAUGUUUUCACAUAAUCUCAUUAUCUCAUUUCUGAUCAGAAACAAACAAUUCAGGUAUACAGACCAAACCUUUUGAGUAGCAGUGCUUUAGAACAGUGGUCAGCAAGCUUUUUCUGUGUAGAGCCAGAUAAUAAAUAAUUACAGACCAUGUGGUUACAAUUAUCCAACUUGUCUUCAUAGCUUGAAAGCAGCUGUAGACAAUAUGUAAAUGUAGCCUGUUUGUGUUCCAAUAAAACUUUAUUUAUAAAAACAGAAUGUUGGUUGGGUUUGGCCAGUGAACUGUAGUUUGCCUCCACCUGCUUUAGAGUGCUGUUUUGUCUGGGUAAAUCGUGCUCAGAGACUGAGAUUUUCUUUGCCAUUAAUUUACUUAACAAAGUUUAUUUUGGGAAUUGUAGUUUAUAAUAACAAUAUUUCACAAGCCAAUAUAGUACAGGAUAAUUAUUGUCUGUUAAUAAACCAAUAAAUAAAUAACAUACUCCAAACCAA